GGUCUUAUAGUUUAAUAAAAAUAUUGGAUUGCAAAUCUAAAGUUAAGUCAUUUUAAGACUU
RNAcentral lists this transfer RNA (61 nucleotides) under Zorka agnesae. RNAcentral describes it as "tRNA-Cys". It matches the Rfam family "tRNA". From Rfam's summary of the family: Transfer RNA (tRNA) molecules are approximately 80 nucleotides in length. Their secondary structure includes four short double-helical elements and three loops (D, anti-codon, and T loops). The record is from RNAcentral. Lineage: Eukaryota; Metazoa; Arthropoda; Insecta; Hemiptera; Cicadellidae.